RNAcentral lists this ribosomal RNA (468 nucleotides) under uncultured bacterium. Its description in RNAcentral is "partial 16S ribosomal RNA". It matches the Rfam family "Bacterial small subunit ribosomal RNA", at positions 28 to 507 of the family's 1533-position model. The record is from RNAcentral.
GAUGAACGCUGGCGGCGUGCUUAACACAUGCAAGUCGAACGGAAAGGCCCUGCUUUUGUGGGGUGCUCGAGUGGCGAACGGGUGAGUAACACGUGAGUAACCUGCCCUUGACUUUGGGAUAACUUCAGGAAACUGGGGCUAAUACCGGAUAGGAGCUCCUGCUGCAUGGUGGGGGUUGGAAAGUUUCGGCGGUGGGGGAUGGACUCGCGGGUUAUCAGCGUGUUGGUGGGGUUGUGGCUUACCAAGGCUUUGACGGGUAGCCGGCCUGAGAGGGUGACCGGACACAUUGGGACUGAGAUACGGCACAGACUCCUACGGGGGGGAGGAGGGGGGAAUAUUGCACAAUGGGCGGAAGCCUGAUGCAGCAACGCCGCGUGCGGGAUGACGGCCUUCGGGUUGUAAACCGCUUUCGCCUGUGACGAAGCGUGAGUGACGGUAAUGGGUAAAGAAGCACCGGCUAACUACGUG